GUUGUGCAUUUAUCACAUCCAUAAACCUCACUGAAACACGUCCAUUUCCUGGAGAGGGGAAAUCAGUGCUCCACACAGCGGAGGUGACGCUCAAGCCCCCCGAGCGGGAGCGGGGCACCCACCGUGGAGCCAGCCUGGAGACCUGGCUCUGGCACCGUGUCCCUGCCCAUGGCACCGGGGCCGGCUGGGAAGUGCCAGCACCUCCCCUGCGUCUCUGCAGCCGCUCCCAGCUCGAGGCCUGCAGCCCCCGGAGGGCGGAGAGGGCUCGGUGUACCUUGUCCCUGCAAACCACCCUCGGGACUGUGCGCGGGGGCAGCAGGCUCUGCCCCUCCUCCUCAUCGGCCAGGUCCCCUCUGGCGGGGGGUUUAACCCUGGGCGCUGUGCGGCGCCGGGGGAUCCCUGCGGGAGCGGCGGGCACAGCCCCGGGCAGCAGCGUCUGCCCUGUCCCGGGCAGGAGGGACAGCUCCGGUGCCAUAUGGCACCCGCUGGGACGGGCACCGCCGGGCCAGGUGACAGAUGGCAGGUGGAGCAGGGCUGCUCCUCCCGGCGGCACAGCCGUGCCAGGCGCAGCGGCCCAUUCCAGCCGGGAGAGGGGACGGGGGGAUGCUGCAGGCCCCGGACAGAGAGCCCUGCUGCCGGGGAAUCGGCUCCUGCCCGGUGCAGGGCUACUCACACUGCACAGGGACUGAAACACGGAGUGCACAGCCCGGCGCCUCCUGGGGCUUGGGAAUGGGGGAUGGGAUGGAAUCCUGCCGAGGUUGAAGGCUCGUGCUCCAGCACAGCUCAGACAGGACAGAGCAGGGGUUUGCUGUUGGUCACUUGUCCACACCAGCCCAGGGACAAGGGGUGGGAGCAGCUCCCCGGCCGCGCCCCCUGCUCCCCUCCUCCUUUUCCCUGUUUUCCUGCUGCAGGGAUUGCACAGACACUGCUUCCAUCUCACCGUUCAUUAUCUCUGUCUCCUGGAACAGCAAACAGGGAAAUGUGAUUAAAGCCCUGUAGCAGGGAGCUUAUCAGCCUGUGGGAAGGCCAUGAGUUCCCUCCUGCCAGGAGAGCAUCCCUGGCGCGGCCGCGGUGUCCUGUGACUCCUGCUGCCUUCAGCCCACGAUCUUGGAGCGGCCCCGAGGUGCUGGGGUGGACGGGAGGGACAGCGCUGUCACCGUGUGAAGGAGAGCGGGUCAGAGCCGGCGGCGUCAGGCUCUCACACUGACCUUAUUGGCAGCACUGCGCUGGUGAAGGCGAAGAACAUCCGCCCUGACAGGGUGUUUUGGAGCUGCCGCUGGUCCAGGAGAAGCUGGGCGCUGUAACUGUUUGCCACAGGGAUUUUCUCGGUGUUGUCCGUGAGGGUCACCCUUCCUGCGCCCAUGGAAGGAGCCUCUUGCUGGCACCGGGAAUAACAGCUCUGAGCUGUGCAGCUCCUUGUCCCUCUUCAAAGGAGCCAGAAUUCCCUGUCUCCACCCCCAGACACCACAUAAAAUACCUGCUUUUUCCAUCCCGCA
Parus major (Great Tit) is the source of this 1496-nucleotide long non-coding RNA. RefSeq lists it as uncharacterized. The transcript is spliced from 2 exons. Lineage: Eukaryota; Metazoa; Chordata; Aves; Passeriformes; Paridae. The record is from RefSeq and is a predicted model, not a curated record.